UGGAGGGAAGGUGGGGAUGACGUCAAGUCCUCAUGGCCCUUAUGUCCUGGGCUACACACGUGCUACAAUGGCGGUGACAGUGGGAAGCCAGGUAGCGAUACCGAGCCGAUCUCCAAAAGCCGUCUCAGUUCGGAUUGCACUCUGCAACUCGAGUGCAUGAAGGUGGAAUCGCUAGUAAUCGCGGAUCAGCAUGCCGCGGUGAAUACGUUCCCGGGCCUUGUACACACCGCCCGUCACACCAUGGGAGUUGGUUUGACCUUAAGCCGGUGAGCGAACCGCAAGGACGCAGCCGACCACGGUCGGGUCAGCGACUGGGGNGAA
This 321-nucleotide ribosomal RNA is filed under the name Komagataeibacter xylinus. RNAcentral describes it as "bacterial SSU rRNA". It matches the Rfam family "Bacterial small subunit ribosomal RNA", at positions 1163 to 1484 of the family's 1533-position model. Lineage: Bacteria; Pseudomonadati; Pseudomonadota; Alphaproteobacteria; Acetobacterales; Acetobacteraceae. The record is from RNAcentral.